UCGGGGUUAGUGGCGCACGGGUGCGUAACGCGUGGGAAUCUGCCCUUUGCUGCGGGAUAACAGUGAGAAAUCGCUGCUAAUACCGCAUAAUGACUACGGUCCAAAGAUUUAUCGGCAAAGGAUGAGCCCGCGUAAGAUUAGCUUGUUGGUGGGGUAAAAGCCUACCAAGGCGACGAUCUUUAGCUGGUCUGAGAGGAUGAUCAGCCACACUGGGACUGAGACACGGCCCAGACUCC
Molecule: ribosomal RNA, 236 nt
Filed under: uncultured bacterium
Lineage: Bacteria
Description: partial 16S ribosomal RNA
Rfam family: Bacterial small subunit ribosomal RNA
Source: RNAcentral